AUUGAACGCUGGCGGCAGGCCUAACACAUGCAAGUCGAACGGUAACAGGAAGCAGCUUGCUGCUUCGCUGACGAGUGGCGGACGGGUGAGUAAUGUCUGGGAAACUGCCUGAUGGAGAGGGAUAACUACUGGAAACGGUAGCUAAUACCGCAUAAUGUCACAAGACCAAAGAGGGGGACCUUCGGGCCUCUUGCCAUCGGAUGUGCCCAGAUGGGAUUAGCUUGUUGGUGGGGUAACGGCUCACCAAGGCGACGAUCCCUAGCUGGUCUGAGGGGAUGACCAGCCACACUGGAACUGAGACACGGUCCAGACUCCUACGGGAGGCAGCAGUGGGGAAUAUUGCACAAUGGGCGCAAGCCCGAUGCAGCCAUGCCGCGUGUAUGAAGAAGGCCUUCGGGUUGUAAAGUACUUUCAGCGGGGAGGAAGGGAGUAAAGUUAAUACCUUUGCUCAUUGACGUUACCCGCAGAAGAAGCACCGGCUAACUCCGUGCCAGCAGCCGCAGUAA
Molecule: ribosomal RNA, 506 nt
Filed under: uncultured bacterium
Lineage: Bacteria
Description: partial 16S ribosomal RNA
Rfam family: Bacterial small subunit ribosomal RNA
Source: RNAcentral